CUCCUUUCUCUGGCCCUCCAUCUGCUCAUCUGGCCACUGAGGGGUAGUGAGAGAAGCAAGCUGUCCACCUCUGAGAACUUUCAUCAGGUGAGUGGUGGAGAUUGAGACGCUCAGGAGUCGGCAACAACCACACUCAGGAACUGCCCAUGGGGAGUGUCCACUGAGUGCCAGCGCUGGCCAUGCACCUGACUUGUAGUUUCAUGGUGACUCCGCUUCCAGAUGAGGAAACAGAGGCCCAGAGAGGAUAAGUCACCUGUCCAAGGUCACAAAGCAAAUAUACACCCAGGAAUGGAAUUGCUGGUUCAGGUGUUAGUUCUAUUUUCAGUUUUUUUGAGAAAUUUCCAUACUGUUUACCACAGUGGCUGCACCAAUUUACAUUCUAAGGUCUUGGACGGUCUCUCCACACCUGCCUGACAUCCAGAAGCCCAGAAGGUCAGGAUCGCAGGAUUGGAAGGUAUACCAUGGGAGACUGCUGUGUGGAAGCCAUGGAGCAAAGCCUCCUUAUUCUGCCUACAAAGGGGUGCUGAGCCAGGGGCCCCGAACCUGGCCUGGGCGAGCACACGUCUGCAGAUGUGCAGGUGUGCACACAGCACCCAAAGGAACGACACACACAGGUUUUUCUCCCAGGCACACACCUUGGGACGAGCUGCCAGUUCCAUUUGAAGUCGACUGGCAGGGAAGCAGGUGGUCGAGGGCAGCAGCUGCUCCUUAAACCUGCCUGGGACCCAAGGAAGGCGGGUUCCUGGAGCUUCCUGUCAACCUGGAGGCUCCCUGCGGCCUGGCAGCAGCAGAGCCCCUGGUGAGCGUGUGCACCCACAAACCAGAGAGGGGUGUACAUGUGGCACACACACUUGGAGCUCCAUGUAUGUGCACUGUGCACGUGGCUCGCAGAGCCCCCUGCUCUGUACCCAUCUCUACAAGCUGCAGUGGUCUGGGGGGAAGGUCCAGGGAUGGGCAGCCACAGGCAACCCUGGAUUUCUCAAAACCAUCAAAACAACUACGUGGAAAACUGGAGGAUCAUGCUGAAGGAAGAAAAAAAUGCAGCCAUUCAUCUCUCCUGGAAACUAUCUUUCUAUUCUCUGGCCAUUGUCUAUCCCAUGACCCCAACAUCCACUCAGCCAGAGAAGCACAGAGUGAAGGAACUAUGGCCGUGCAUCUCUGAGACUUGGGUUUGAAUCCUGUUUCUUUCUUUCUUUUUUUGUUUUUUGUCUUUGUCUUUUGCCUUUUCUAGGGCUUCACCUGCGGCAUAUGGAGGUUCCCAGGCUAGGGGUCCAAUCGGAGCUGUGGCCACCGACCUACGUCACAGCCACAGCAACGCCAGAUCCGAGCCACCUCUGCGACCUACAUUACAGCUCGCAGCAAUGCCGGAUCCUUAACCCACUGAGCGAGGCCAGGGAUUGAACCUGCAACCUCAUGGUUCCUAGUCGGAUUCAUUUCCACUGCGCCACAACGGGAACUCCAGCUUCUGCCACUACUGGCAGCAGAAACUUGGGAAAGUCUCUAAAUCUGCUGUGCACUGGCUCAUGGGGCACCGGUUCUGGGGGGUGAACGGAAAAUGGUGUGGUCUGGUGGACCGGCCAGGGGAGGUCACGUGGGGCAGGGAGAGCCACUUCCUGGGCCUGGUGAAAUCUACCAGGCUGCAAGCUGUGAAUGUGGCAUCCUGAGUAGUGGGACUGGUCCCUGCCACCUCACGGUGACCCAAAAGUUGAGUGGGUCCUAGGGAAGGUUGAGGGUUCUGUGAAGAAAGCAAAGCCCGAGAAGAACGAGCUGGAAGACCCGUGUAGUAGCAAGAUGCUUAGUGAGGAGGCCUGGGUUCAGGCACCAGCUCUAUCAGGCAAGUCCCCUCCUCUUUCUGGGCCUCAGUUUUCCCAUCUGGAAUCAGGGGGUGUGUGUUUCGAGACGCCUCGGAUGCAAGAGACUCUGCUGUCUGAGCCACAGCUGACAAUCUAGGAACUGAACACCCUUGCUGUGAGAUGGGGCCAAGGCCCUGAGUGAACAAGAGAUGCUGCUACGCAUCUAACCCACAGCUCUUCCUGCUGCAUGGUCAGACACACCCCCUCACCCUUGCCCUACCUUCCACUCCUCCGUUGACAGUGAUGGGACAAGAGCCAGAGCAGCGAGAGCUCUGUGGGGUCUCCAGGCUCCCCACCCCAACCCUUCCCCUCAGAGAGGCCAUCCAGGCCACGCAGGGGAGGGGGCACGCGUCCAAGCUUACACAAUCACCACCUUGUCUGGGGGAGACAAAGGCCAGGCUCUGGGCCUUGGCGGCCAACUGCCCGGCUGGAAUGACAGAUCACAGACUUGCUGAAUUAAGAAUUUUAAAAAAUGUUAGUACAAUAGCUUCGAUGCUGAAGAAUCUCUAAAAUUCAGAAUAAUGAUGUAUUAGAAUCACAGACGCAGAGAUUCUUCAUUUCAAAGAAA
This 2421-nucleotide long non-coding RNA is filed under the name Sus scrofa (pig). RNAcentral describes it as "lncRNA (ENSSSCG00030020429.1)". Lineage: Eukaryota; Metazoa; Chordata; Mammalia; Artiodactyla; Suidae. The record is from RNAcentral.